GAUGAACGCUAGCGGCAGGCCUAAUACAUGCAAGUCGAGGGGUAGUAAGUAGCAAUAUUUAUGAGACCGGCGCACGGGUGCGUAACACGUAUGCAACCUACCUUUUACUGGGGCAUAGCUCAGAGAAAUCUGAAUUAAUUCCCCAUAACACUGCAGAUUGGCAUCUUUCAGCAGUUAAAGCUCCGGCGGUAAAAGAUGGGCAUGCGGAACAUUAGCUAGUUGGUGAGGUAAUGGCUCACCAAGGCUACGAUGUUUAGGGGGUCUGAGAGGAUGAUCCCCCACACUGGUACUGAGACACGGACCAGACUCCUACGGGAGGCAGCAGUAGGGAAUAUUGGUCAAUGGACGAAAGUCUGAACCAGCCAUGCCGCGUGCAGGAUGACGGUCCUCUGGAUUGUAAACUGCUUUUAUAUGGGAAGAAACCUCUGGAUGCGUCCGGAGCUGACGGUACUAUAUGAAUAAGGAUCGGCUAACUUCGUGCCAGCAGCCGCGGUAAGACGAAGGAUUCAAGCGUUGUCCGGAUUUACUGGGUUUAAAGGGUGCGUAGGCGGAACUCUAAGUCAGUGGUGAAAGCUCUCGGCUCAACCGGGAAAUUGCCAUUGAAACUGGUUUUCUUGAAUACAGUGGAGGUAGAUGGAAUAUA
RNAcentral lists this ribosomal RNA (643 nucleotides) under uncultured bacterium. RNAcentral's name for it is "bacterial SSU rRNA". It matches the Rfam family "Bacterial small subunit ribosomal RNA", at positions 28 to 670 of the family's 1533-position model. The record is from RNAcentral.